Molecule: unclassified non-coding RNA, 378 nt
Filed under: uncultured Rickettsiales bacterium
Lineage: Bacteria; Pseudomonadati; Pseudomonadota; Alphaproteobacteria; Rickettsiales
Description: contains 16S-23S intergenic spacer region
Source: RNAcentral
UCCGGCUUAUCACCGGCAGUUUCUUUAGAGUGCUCAACUAAAUGGUAGCAACUAAAGAUGAGGGUUGCGCUCGUUGCGGGACUUAACCCAACAUCUCACGACACGAGCUGACGACAGCCAUGCAACACCUGUGUGUUAGCCAGCCAAACUGAAGGGAUACGUUUCUGCAUCCCAAACUAACCAUGUCAAGGCCUGGUAAGGUUCUUCGCGUUGCCUCGAAUUAAACCACAUGCUCCACCGCUUGUGCGGGUCCCCGUCAAUUUCUUUGAGUUUUAAUCUUGCGACCGUACUCCCCAGGCGGAGUGCUUAAUGCGUUAGCGGCGCCACUGAUCCCUAAGGGACCAACAGCUAGCACUCAUCGUUUACAGCGUGGACUAC